GUGUACGUUGCAAAGUACUCAGAAGAAUUGUGGUAAGAAGUGAAAUACAAAUCGGACUAGGAUAUAGCUGGUUUUCUGCGAAAAUUGUUUUGGCAAAUUGUUUAUUUUUUUUUUUCAUUCAUUCAAAGAAUGAAUGUAUAAUAAUAGUGGGUAUAGCACUGAAUACUUUGGGGGAGUAUUAUUAUAUUUAUCUCGGGUAUUUAAUCUCAAAAUAACUAUUUAUUUAUAGGUAAAUAAUCAGACUAUUUGCGAUAAGGUAGAUAGUCAAAAGGGAAACAGCCCAGAACAGUUAUUAAAGCUCCAAAAUUAAUAUUUAGUGAAAUAAAAGUUGUUGGUAGUCUUUUACAGUCAAGAAGUGGGCUUGGAAACAGCCAUC
RNAcentral lists this ribosomal RNA (376 nucleotides) under Pneumocystis sp. 'macacae'. Its description in RNAcentral is "partial large subunit ribosomal RNA". It matches the Rfam family "Bacterial large subunit ribosomal RNA", at positions 782 to 1120 of the family's 2925-position model. Lineage: Eukaryota; Fungi; Ascomycota; Pneumocystomycetes; Pneumocystales; Pneumocystaceae. The record is from RNAcentral.